RNAcentral lists this ribosomal RNA (30 nucleotides) under Rafnia perfoliata. RNAcentral's name for it is "partial 26S ribosomal RNA". Lineage: Eukaryota; Viridiplantae; Streptophyta; Magnoliopsida; Fabales; Fabaceae. The record is from RNAcentral.
GGGACCUCAGGUCAGGCGGGGCUACCCUCU